Molecule: signal recognition particle RNA, 99 nt
Filed under: Candidatus Eiseniibacteriota bacterium
Lineage: Bacteria; Candidatus Eiseniibacteriota
Description: Candidatus Eisenbacteria bacterium signal recognition particle sRNA small type
Rfam family: Bacterial small signal recognition particle RNA
About the family: The signal recognition particle (SRP) is a universally conserved ribonucleoprotein involved in the co-translational targeting of proteins to membranes. Archaeal SRP consists of a 7S RNA and homologues of the eukaryotic SRP19 and SRP54 proteins.
Source: RNAcentral
GGCCAGGCCCAGCGCAACCCGAGCUUGUGAACCCCGUCAGGACCGGAAGGUAGCAGCGGUAAGCAACUCCUCGGGUGUGCCGUUGGCCCCCUGGCCCUU